UCAUUUUUACACAUUGUUAUUAGAGAGCAGUGUCCCAAACUGUGCAUAGAAGAAAUAUUCAGAAGAACUGUAAAUCUCUGUUUUCCCAAUGACAAAAAGGGCAAUUGUCCCAGAUCCUUCCUCCUCUAUCAAUCAUUUCAUUCAUUCAUUCACAGUCAUGUCUGGCAUUUGGUGGCUGGCAGCUGGGAUUUUAGAUGGGGCUGGAAACUGGUGUACUUAUACAUGGCCUCUCCACCUGGGAUUCCUUACAACAUGUUGGUUGGAGUUCAAGUGUGAGUUCCCAAGAGAGUAUCAGGUGGAAGCUGGUAUUGGAAAGCAUGGCCUUGGAAGUAUGCAGCAUCACUUUCACCUUACCCUGUUUGUCAAGGCAGUUACAAAGGCCCUGUCAGUCCAAGGGAGGAAGAAGUAGACUUGACUUUCUGAUGGAAAAAGUGGCAAGAUUCUGGAAAAGCACAGAGUUGGAAACAUCGUUGCAACCACUUUUGGAAUUGCAGUCUGUCAGAACUAGCAACAUGCAAGAUUAAUGUUAAUAAAAUAUUAUUUAUAAUUACAUCAUAAUCAAGUAGUAGUCAUGGAGAAAUUCUUGAAAGAUGUGCAAGACCUACAUGCUGAAAACAAGGCAUUUGGGAUCCUAGAGAACAAAAUUGAGGGACUUAUACUAUUUGAUUCCAGAUCUUUCUAUAGUACUAAUACUAAUCAAGACAAGUAGGUUAUUGAAAUAAUAGAGAGGUUUUUAAAGUAUAUCCAAGCACAUAUGGUUGGCUAAUUUUGACAGAGACACUAAGACUAUUCAAUAAGGAAGACAGUCUUUUCAAUAAGUGAUACUAUAACAACUUAAUAACCAUGUUGGGGUGGGGAGCUUUGACUCGCUAACCACAAAAAAAAUUCAAAAUGGAUCAUAAACUUACAAGUGAAAAAAAAAGCAACGUGCAAAUCUUCUGGAAGAAAGCAUUGAGAAUAUAUUUCACACAGGACGUAGAAAAAACACUAACCAUAAAAGAAAACAUUUAUAUAAUUGGACAUCAUCAAAAAAAAACUUAAGAGACCACCAAGAAAGUAGAUAGGUAAGCCACAGACUGAGAGAAGAUGUUCACAAUACAUUCAUCUGACAAAGGACCUAUAUUUAGAAUA
This 1131-nucleotide long non-coding RNA is filed under the name Marmota monax (woodchuck). Lineage: Eukaryota; Metazoa; Chordata; Mammalia; Rodentia; Sciuridae. The record is from RNAcentral.